RNAcentral lists this ribosomal RNA (246 nucleotides) under Hypselonotus fulvus. Its description in RNAcentral is "partial large subunit ribosomal RNA". It matches the Rfam family "Eukaryotic large subunit ribosomal RNA", at positions 1623 to 2068 of the family's 3401-position model. Lineage: Eukaryota; Metazoa; Arthropoda; Insecta; Hemiptera; Coreidae. The record is from RNAcentral.
AUCCGGGCGAGGGCCACGAGGAACACCGCGCCGGCUCGUACCCAUAUCCGCAGCAGGUCUCCAAGGUGAAUAGCCUCUAGUCGAUAGAAUAAUGUAGGUAAGGGAAGUCGGCAAACCCGAUCUGUAACUUGGGGAUAAGGAUUGGCUCUGAGGAUCGUGGCGCGCCGGGCUUGGUCGGGAAGUGGAGCGGUGCCAACGUGCCGGGCCUGGGCGAGGUGAAGGGCGCUCGUCGUCUGGACCCUAGCU